GACGAACGCUGGCGGCGUGCUUAACACAUGCAAGUCGAACGGAAAGGCCCUGCUUUUGUGGGGUGCUCGAGUUGCGAACUGGUGAGUAACACGUGAGUAACCUGCCCUUGACUUUGGGAUAACUUCAUGAAACUGGGUCUAAUACCGGAUAGGAGCUCCUGCUGCAUGGUGGGGGUUGGAAGGUUUCGGCGGUUGGGGAUGGACUCGCGUCUUAUCAGCUUGUUGGUUGGGUAGUGGCUUACCAAGGCUUUGACGGGUAGCCGGCCUGAGAGGGUGACCGGACAAAUUGGGAUUGAGAUGAGGCCCAGACUCCUACGGGAGGGAGCAGUGGGGAAUAGUGCACUAUGGGCGGAAGCCUGAUGCAGCAAAGCAGCGUGGGGGAUGACGGCAAUCGGGUUGUAAACCGAUUUCGCCUGUGACGAAGCGUGAAUGACAGUAAUGGGUAAAGAAGCACCGGCUAACUACGUG
Molecule: ribosomal RNA, 468 nt
Filed under: uncultured bacterium
Lineage: Bacteria
Description: partial 16S ribosomal RNA
Rfam family: Bacterial small subunit ribosomal RNA
Source: RNAcentral